Molecule: ribosomal RNA, 551 nt
Filed under: uncultured Glomus
Lineage: Eukaryota; Fungi; Glomeromycota; Glomeromycetes; Glomerales; Glomeraceae
Description: SSU rRNA
Rfam family: Eukaryotic small subunit ribosomal RNA
Source: RNAcentral
UUGGAGGGCAAGUCUGGUGCCAGCAGCCGCGGUAAUUCCAGCUCCAAUAGCGUAUAUUAAAGUUGUUGCAGUUAAAAAGCUCGUAGUUGAACUUCGGGGUCUACCCAUUGGUCAGGCUUAAUUGUCUGCACUGGUGAGAUGGAUCUCUACCUUCUGAGGAACUCUCAUGCCAUUUAUUUGGUGUGGUUGGAAAUCAGGACUGUUACUUUGAAAAAAUUAGAGUGUUUAAAGCAGACUAUCGUCCGAAUACAUUAGCAUGGAAUAAUGAAAUAGGACGGACUGAUUCUAUUUCGUUGGUUUCUGGGAUCACCGUAAUGAUUAAUAGGGAUAGUUGGGGGCAUUAGUAUUCAAUUGUCAGAGGUGAAAUUCUUGGAUUUAUUGAAGACUAACUACUGCGAAAGCAUUUGCCAAGGAUGUUUUCAUUAAUCAAGAACGAAAGUUAGGGGAUCGAAGACGAUCAGAUACCGUCGUAGUCUUAACCAUAAACUAUGCCGACUAGGGAUCGGACGAAGUUAAUUUUAUAAUGACGCGUUCGGCACCUUACGGGAAAC